Oncorhynchus tshawytscha (Chinook salmon) is the source of this 1129-nucleotide long non-coding RNA. The record is from Ensembl. Lineage: Eukaryota; Metazoa; Chordata; Actinopteri; Salmoniformes; Salmonidae.
UGGUUAGGAAGUUUGAUAUCCGCCUGUUCUGAGUCUGGGACUGGGACUGGGACUGGGUCUGGGACUGGGUCUGGGACUGGUCUGGGUCUGGGACUGGCUCUGGGACUGGGUCUGGGUCUGGGUCUGGACAUGGGACUGAGUCUGGGAAUGGGUCUGGGACUGGGUCUGGGUCUGGGAAUGGGUCUGGGACUGGUUCAAGGGCAGGUUCACCAGAAACUAUACUGAGAGAAGUUGGUUGAGACGAGUCUCCUCCAUGCUUCCUUCCACCAUCCUCCUUUUCUCUCUCUGAGACCUUGACCUCUGACCCUUUAACCGUUCUACUUGUCUGAGUCUUCUCCUUAGGCUCCCUAAGGAGGUCAGGAGGGGUCAGGGUUGGUGGUCUGUCCCCAGGCAGAGCUGACUGUGGUGGGGUCAGGGUUGGUGGUCUGUCCCCAGGCAGAGCUGACUGUGGUGGGGUCAGGGUUGUUGGUCUGUCCCCAGGCAGAGCUGACUGUGGUGGGGUCAGGGUUGGUGGUCUGUCCCCAGGCAGAGCUGACUGUGGUGGGGUCAGGGUUGGUGGUCUGUCCCCAGGCAGAGCUGACUGUGUUGGGGUCAGGGUUGGUGGUCUGUCCCCAGGCAGAGCUGACUGUGGUGGGGUCAGGGUUGUUGGUCUGUCCCCAGGCAGAGCUGACUGUGGUGGGGUCAGGGUUGUUGGUCUGUCCCCAGGCAGAGCUGGCUGUGGUGGGGUCAGGGUUGGUGGUCUGUCCCCAGGCAGAGCUGACUGUGGAGGGGUCAGGGUUGGUGGUGGUGGGGUCUCUGGCUUCUUGACGCUGAGGAAGUUCGGUGAGGUGAAGCUAGCCUCACUCACUGGGUGGUGAAGGUUCUCGUGCACAUUCAGUGGAGGCAGAAAGGCACAGUCCAGUCUAGUAGCAGGUUGGGAGACAGAGACAUCAUGGAGGCUCAUAGAGGAACGAUCGUCAGCUUUCACUGCGUGAUCGAAAAACAGUUUCCUGUUGCCCCUCACAGCUAGUCGGAACACCUUAACUCCAGACAUAGUGAAGGGUUCCACUACACCACUACCACUGUCUUAAGACUGAGGCUGUACUGACCUGAGACGUGUAGCUUCACUCUCAGAAAACCUUAGCCUCUG